This 372-nucleotide long non-coding RNA is filed under the name Gallus gallus (chicken). The record is from RNAcentral. Lineage: Eukaryota; Metazoa; Chordata; Aves; Galliformes; Phasianidae.
ACCCGGUCGGCCAUGACGGUGGCGGCGGCGCGGCCGAUCUCGUGGUAGCUGAGGCGGGGGCCACGAGCACCAGCGUGGCCUCGGUGUCCUCGGGGAGCUGCUGGUGGAGCUGUGGGCCGAGCUGCGCCCUGGAGGGGCUCUGCCCGGCCCCAUGCAGCUCCCUCAUCUCCACAGCCCGCUGCUCCCGCAGCAGUGCGCGCUGCUCCGCGUCCUUCUGCUCCCCGUCCGAGCACUGCAGCUGCGCCGCCGGCAGCGUCCACACCGACUCGGCCUCACUGGGGUGCUUGUGCCGCAGCAGCAGCGCCCGCAGGACGUCGUCGCGGUGCUGCGGCUUCAGCUGCCCCCUCGUAGAUGAGCUGAUCCAGCAGCACG